ACGGGUGAGUAAUACAUCGGAACGUAUCCUGGAGUGGGGGAUAGCCCGGCGAAAGCCGGAUUAAUACCACAUACGCUCUGAGGAGGAAAGCGGGGGACCUUCGGGCCUCGCGCUCAAGGGGCGGCCGAUGGCGGAUUAGGUAGUUGGUGGGGUAAAGGCCUACCAAGCCGACGAUCCGUAGCUGGUCUGAGAGGACGACCAGCCACACUGGGACUGAGACACGGCCCAGACUCCUACGGGAGGCAGCAGUGGGGAAUUUUGGACAAUGGGGGCAACCCUGAUCCAGCAAUGCCGCGUGUGUGAAGAAGGCCUUCGGGUUGUAAAGCACUUUUGUCCGGAAAGAAAUCAUCGGGGCCAAUACCCCUGGUGGAUGACGGUACCGGAAGAAUAAGCACCGGCUAACUACGUGCCAGCAGCCGCGGUAAUACGUAGGGUGCGAGCGUUAAUCGGAAUUACUGGGCGUAAAGCGUGCGCAGGCGGUGCUGUAAGACCGAUGUGAAAUCCCCGGGCUUAACCUGGGAACUGCAUUGGUGACUGCAGCGCUGGAGUAUGGCAGAGGGGGGUGGAAUUCCACGU
RNAcentral lists this ribosomal RNA (576 nucleotides) under uncultured bacterium. Its description in RNAcentral is "bacterial SSU rRNA". It matches the Rfam family "Bacterial small subunit ribosomal RNA", at positions 102 to 674 of the family's 1533-position model. The record is from RNAcentral.